AGAGUUCAAAGAGACACUGUUUACUUGCAUGGGCAGAAGCAUGAGAGUCAGAGAGGCCUUGAGACCAGACGACUUCUUUGCCUACAACAUGAACAGCACGACUGCAAUGCCGAGAAUCAGGGAAUGCACAUACGACCACAUCCCCACGGAACAAAAAUACUUAUUUGCAGUGCUGCAGUAUGUGCACAAUUUUAUGUCGGGAUAGGAACAAAAGAAGCAAAGAAAAUGA
Molecule: long non-coding RNA, 229 nt
Organism: Ornithodoros turicata
Lineage: Eukaryota; Metazoa; Arthropoda; Arachnida; Ixodida; Argasidae
Exons: 3
Source: RefSeq, a predicted model, not a curated record